Long non-coding RNA from Columba livia (rock pigeon), 1516 nucleotides. RefSeq lists it as uncharacterized. The transcript has 2 exons. Lineage: Eukaryota; Metazoa; Chordata; Aves; Columbiformes; Columbidae. The record is from RefSeq and is a predicted model, not a curated record.
UUCUUGCUGGCGAUUCCGUCCUGUUCUCCGCCCGCGGCUCUGUGCCCCCGCUCCUCCCCUGACACCGGCCCCGGCGUUCCUGCGGCCUUGCUCGGACCAGACAGGCAACCAACGUGGAAGAAACUGCCCCGGAGCACAACCAGAAUUGGGCUCUUGGAAUCUUCAUGUCUGCACUGGAAGGAUGCAUCAAAACCUCUACCAAAGCUGAGCAUCAGGCUUUGAGGGCACUCGGCCUGCUCUACACCACAUGCCUGGCAUUAAGGCAGGAGACGCAUUAUCUCUCAAAACAAUAUGGGAGUGUUCUGAAAGUAACAGGGUACGGCCUGGUACCAUAUCAUUAAAUAUUAACACAAGCGAUAACUAAUCUACCCAAGGUGAGUCAACCCUGACCACAGCUUUAACCAUUUACAAAAAAAAGACGAUUAACAGAUCAAGUCUAACCACUUACAUUAUUGCAAGACAUGCUACAUUAUAGUUCUGAGAGGAAAGGCACACAUGAAAAAGAUCCGAAUUUUAUUUCACUGUUUUGUAACGAACCCUGAGCAGUUCUUACGGCGUUACAGAACCCUGUUUUCAUUCAAACUGGAUUACUUUGACGUUUUCAGAAAACCAAACCCAAACCCACACACAAUCUGUCUCUGAAACAAACGGUGUCCUGCUGAACCGCCGUCUGGGCCCCGAAGCGCACGGCGGCCAACCCGAACUGGAACCCAAACCAGCGAGGGUUUUAUACGGGAUGGAUUGACAGCCACCUGCGCCAGCCACGCUGGUAAACACAACAGAAUGUCACGGCAGAAAGACAGGAAACAACAAAGCGAUGCAUUCUGUUUCCUACAGCCAAGACCUUGCAUGUGCUGUUAGCACGGCUCAACUGGCACUAUCAAUAGGCUCUCGCUCUCAAUUACCUAUUUAGUUUUGCUGACAUUUGGUUCUCAGCAACCUGUAACGUUACAUUCCCUACACAACAAGGUUAAGUGCCUAUAUUUAUCUGCUCAUGAUAUGGAAAUUUAUCGUAGUUGCCCACUUAUUACUGCACAGAAAGGCCCAUGUUCCACUCGCUCCAGGCUCACGUUCACUGAAAUGAGGUUAUCCAGGAAGCAGAAAGAGUUGCCAUGGAAACAAAACCAAUUUAACAGAGGCUGCUGCAAAACCUCCAUUAAUUAACCUAUUUACAGUAAAACCAUUUCUCCUCUCAUUAGCUGUAGUUGGUAUCAUUCCAAUGACACCACAAGAAAUAUACAGCUGCUCUUCUUGUGUAUUCCACGCUCCAGUGAGAAAUGCAGCAGCACAGUCUGGCUCCACAUGUUUAUCCUUCACGAUACAGCUUAAGCUAACGCGGUAAACAGGAAUUCACGAUUUGUGUCACCUUCGAGCACGCGAGCGGGGGUACAUCGAUUUGUGUUGCUUGUUUUGAAACAGAAAGGUCUGACUUAGAAUAUAAGUUUAAAAUUCAUUUUCACUCUGAAAUGCAGACUGUCAGUGGAUGUUUUCAAUAAACUGUGUUGACAAAAUGAAA